GUCACAGCCAGAAUUGAUGAACG
RNAcentral lists this microRNA (23 nucleotides) under Fasciola hepatica (liver fluke). RNAcentral describes it as "fhe-miR-2a". Its record names the gene fhe-miR-2a. The record is from miRBase by way of RNAcentral. Lineage: Eukaryota; Metazoa; Platyhelminthes; Trematoda; Plagiorchiida; Fasciolidae.